AUGGAUUGGAACUAUGAUUCAUCUGAUGAGGACUACAGCUAUGAUGAAGAUUCAGAUGGUCAUAUAAGGAAGAGGAAGAGUUCAUUCCCAAGAUACAACCCUGAAAGUGAAGUACCACAUUUUGCUUUGACCAUGGUUUUUAGAAGCAAGAAUCAGCUAUGCAAAUCUGAGUGUGACAGAGUUAGGGCAAAGUGUGGAUGGCCUGGCUGCCCAUGGCUGAUAUAUGCAGCCAAGAGAUCAAGGACUUCAAGAUUCCAAGUCAUAACAUACAAUGAUGAUCACCAAUGUGCACAGAACAGAUGCAACAAGUUGGUUACUGCAAAGGUGAUUGCACAGAGGUAUGAGCACUUCAUACUGGCAAAUCCUAUG
This 369-nucleotide ribosomal RNA is filed under the name Triticum aestivum (bread wheat). Its description in RNAcentral is "partial small subunit ribosomal RNA". Lineage: Eukaryota; Viridiplantae; Streptophyta; Magnoliopsida; Poales; Poaceae. The record is from RNAcentral.